Molecule: ribosomal RNA, 441 nt
Filed under: uncultured bacterium
Lineage: Bacteria
Description: partial 16S ribosomal RNA
Rfam family: Bacterial small subunit ribosomal RNA
Source: RNAcentral
CCUACGGGAGGCAGCAGUGGGGAAUAUUGGACAAUGGGGGGAACCCUGAUCCAGCGACGCCGCGUGAGUGAAGAAGUAUUUCGGUAUGUAAAGCUCUAUCAGCAGGGAAGAGAAUGACGGUACCUGACCAAGAAGCCCCGGCUAAAUACGUGCCAGCAGCCGCGGUAAUACGUAUGGGGCAAGCGUUAUCCGGAUUUACUGGGUGUAAAGGGAGCGUAGGCGGCAGGGCAAGCCUGAUGUGAAAGCCCGGGGCUCAACCCCGGGACUGCAUUGGGAACUGCCCCGCUCGAGUGCCGGAGGGGCAGGCGGAAUUCCUAGUGUAGCGGUGAAAUGCGUAGAUAUUAGGAGGAACACCAGUGGCGAAGGCGGCCUGCUGGACGGUGUACUGACGCUGAGGCUCGAAAGCGUGGGGAGCAAACAGGAUUAGAUACCCCUGUAGUC